Molecule: unclassified non-coding RNA, 284 nt
Filed under: Hevea brasiliensis (rubber tree)
Lineage: Eukaryota; Viridiplantae; Streptophyta; Magnoliopsida; Malpighiales; Euphorbiaceae
Source: RNAcentral
GUGUAUGGUUGUUUGAUGCUUUGAGCACAUUUUUUUUUUCUUAAUUUUUCCUCUUCACAUUUCUUUUGCAUUUUUAGGUUGGUGAACUUGGUGCAUGGUAUUUGCUUACAUGUGCUACUUACUAUCUUAUCUCAUCUUUAGUGGUUAUAUAUUCACAUGGUUGUGUCUAAAACUUCAUACUGAGUCCUUUCAGUUGUUAUCAUUACUUUUCAUCUAUUGUAUGAAACUUUUAACACCUUUUUCCCCUUUGGCAUGCCUAUCUCAUGAUGGAUCACUCAUUCUUG